UACGAAGGGGGCUAGCGUUGCUCGGAAUCACUGGGCGUAAAGCGCACGUAGGCGGAUUGCUAAGUCAGGUGUGAAAUCCUGGAGCUCAACUCCAGAACUGCCUUUGAUACUGGCGAUCUUGAGUCCGGAAGAGGUGAGUGGAACUCCUAGUGUAGAGGUGGAAUUCGUAGAUAUUAGGAAGAACACCAGUGGCGAAGGCGGCUCACUGGUCCGGUACUGACGCUGAGGUGCGAAAGCGUGGGGAGCAAACAGG
Molecule: ribosomal RNA, 253 nt
Filed under: uncultured bacterium
Lineage: Bacteria
Description: partial 16S ribosomal RNA
Rfam family: Bacterial small subunit ribosomal RNA
Source: RNAcentral